GACGAACGCUGGCGGCGUGCUUAAUACAUGCAAGUCAACGAUUUUUAAAAUAGCAAUAUUUUAAAAAUAGUGGCGCACGGGUGAGUAACACGUAGAUAAUCUGCCUUUAGGUCUGACAUAACUCGUCGAAAGACGGGCUAAUAUCAGAUAAAACAAUAACUUGGCAUCAAGUAAUUGUCAAAGCUUCGGCGCCCAAAGAUGAGUCUGCGGACCAUUAGGUAGUUGGUGGAUUAACAGCCCACCAAGCCAACGAUGGAUAGCUGGUCUGAGAGGAUGAUCAGCCACACUGGAACUGAGACACGGUCCAGACUCCUACGGAGGCAGCAGUAAGGAAUAUUGCUCAAUGGGAGAAAUCCUGAAGCAGCAACGCCGCGUGAAGGAAGAAGGGCUUCGACUUGUAAACUUCUGUAGAAGAGGAAAAAUACUCCGAUAUACUCGGAA
RNAcentral lists this ribosomal RNA (441 nucleotides) under uncultured bacterium. RNAcentral's name for it is "bacterial SSU rRNA". It matches the Rfam family "Bacterial small subunit ribosomal RNA", at positions 28 to 468 of the family's 1533-position model. The record is from RNAcentral.